GGAAAAAUGGGGGCGGCUUACACAUGCAAGUCGAGCGGGGAAGGUUGCUUCGGUAACUGACCUAGCGGCGGACGGGUGAGUAAUGCUUAGGAAUCUGCCUAUUAGUGGGGGACAACAUUCCGAAAGGGAUGCUAAUACCGCAUACGCCCUACGGGGGAAAGCAGGGGAUCUUCGGACCUUGCGCUAAUAGAUGAGCCUAAGUCGGAUUAGCUAGUUGGUGGGGUAAAGGCCUACCAAGGCGACGAUCUGUAGCGGGUCUGAGAGGAUGAUCCGCACACUGGGACUGAGACACGGCCCAGACUCCUACGGGAGGCAGCAGUGGGGAAUAUUGGACAAUGGGGGGAACCCUGAUCCAGCCAUGCCGCGUGUGUGAAGAAGGCCUUUUGGUUGUAAAGCACUUUAAGCGAGGAGGAGGCGCUCUAGGCUAAUACCCUAGAUGCGUGGACGUUACUCGCAGAAUAAGCACCGGCUAACUCUGUGCCAGCAGCCGCGGUAAUACAGAGGGUGCGAGCGUUAAUCGGAUUUACUGGGCGUAAAGCACGCGUAGGUGGCUAAUUAAGUCAAAUGUGAAAUCCCCGAGCUUAACUUGGGAAUUGCAUUCGAUACUGGUUAGCUAGAGUAUGGGAGAGGAUGGUAGAAUUCCAGGUGUAGCGGUGAAAUGCGUAGAGAUCUGGAGGAAUACCGAUGGCGAAGGCAGCCAUCUGGCCUAAUACUGACACUGAGGUGCGAAAGCAUGGGGAGCAAACAGGAUUAGAUACCCUGGUAGUCCAUGCCGUAAACGAUGUCUACUAGCCGUUGGGGGCCUUUGGAGGCUUUAGUGGGCGCAGCCUAACGCGGAUAAGUUGACCGGCCUGGGUGAGUACGGGCGGC
RNAcentral lists this ribosomal RNA (870 nucleotides) under uncultured bacterium. Its description in RNAcentral is "bacterial SSU rRNA". It matches the Rfam family "Bacterial small subunit ribosomal RNA", at positions 30 to 890 of the family's 1533-position model. The record is from RNAcentral.